Molecule: long non-coding RNA, 3307 nt
Organism: Salvelinus namaycush (lake trout)
Lineage: Eukaryota; Metazoa; Chordata; Actinopteri; Salmoniformes; Salmonidae
Exons: 4
Source: RefSeq, a predicted model, not a curated record
UGAUCCUUUGCUAGUUACGGCAAUUUUGUUAGUGUCAUUAAGCAAUAUGGCGCACUUCAAAUUCUUCCGGCUUCAUGCGCCAUUGGGAGUUUAACAUAGGAAUAAGUAGAUGCAGGGUUCGAAAUUAACAUCCGCCAAACGCGAGUAGAUUUUCCGUUUGGCGAGUAAAUCUCAGAAGGCUAUCCGCCAUACUGGGGGGUAAAUGUUUGUACCAAAAUAGUAAUGUAAUAAAAUAUCUGGCAUGAUGGCUCGGAGAAAAUUACUCGUUUGCCAGUCACAGACCGUCUCUAGUGCUCCUAGUUUCGCGGCACUGUUUACCAUACGGGACAUCAGCUACUCUACAUCGCUCACUUGCCACGGGUCUGCUGCUAGCUACUGUUCAUUAAAUAGCUGUUAAGUGGCGACAUUUACCUGGAGUAAGCCAACCUUUGAAACGAAAACCCACCGACGAAAAGGAGGACGAAUCUUUAAAAAAUAACGUUUUGUGAGAAAUGGAGGUUUGGAGAUAAAGGAGUUUCAAGAGGCUGGCUACAGUAUGAUGCUGAGGCUAUGGUGAUGAGUUGUUCUGUGUGUCGCCAGUAUGCUAAAGAUGAAAGCAGAAACAACUCGUUUGUCAUCGGAAAUAAAACUAUGAAGCUUGAGAACAUUCGUGACCACGAACUCAGGAAUGGUCACUUGCCUGCGUGUUUGUGUCCCGGGCUCAAACGGAGCCUCUCCUCUUGACACCAUCUGUGACGGCGCUAAUGGCAAUGUCAGAGCAGACCAGAACGAAGUUGAAGAUACUGUUUAGGACUGUACAUGCCAUUGGAAAGAAAGCGAUACCUCUUUCUGAUUUCGAGUGGAUGUGCAAUUUGGAUGAAAAAAAAGGAAUCGCUGUAUAUAGAAAUGAGAAGCAGGCCAAAUAGUUUAUGCACCAUAUUGCAAAGGUGGAGAGAAACAACAUCAGAGAAUCUGAAAAACACCAAAUUUGUCUCCAUAUCAGAUGGCUCCACAGACAGUUCUGUGAAAGAGGAGUUAGUUUGACAGAUUCUGUCACAAGGGCAAGAUCAAGUCGAAGAUUGUUGGCAUCAAGUCGGUGGCGAAGGCAGACGUGGCACACAUAAGCAACACCAUCAGUGCCAUCAUGGAAGGAGGGUGUGAUGAGUGGGGGAGCAAGUUGGUUGCCCUGGGAACAGAGUGAUGACCGGAGCCAAGAAUGGUGUGGUCAGCCGGAUGAAGGGGUACAGGGCCAACAUCAUCUGCAUCCACUGUAUGGCACACUGCCUUGAACUGACCUUUUCUGAUGCCAUCCAGUCCAACGUGAUGUUUCAGAAAAUAGAAGACCUCCUCAAUGGGCUCUACAUGUUCUACCACACCAGUCCACUGAACAGGGCAAACCUGGUAAACAGCUUCCAGGAUCUUGGGCACACACAACUGGUGGCCACCAGAAUUGGCGGGACCCGAUGGGUAGGACACCUAUUACGUGCACUGGACCACUUCCUGCGAGGUUACCAGGGGCUUGUCCAGCACCUGGAACAGAUUCAAUCUGCUGAUGCCCAAAAUGUCAGAGGUGUCCAGCAGGCCAAGGCCAGGAAAUACUACAGUACUGCAAGGGAGGCUGUUGUUAUCCGCUUCUGUGGCUUCCUGCAUGACACACUGACACACCUGAGCAACCUAUCCGCCUGUCUGCAGAGGUCCACCAUCACCAUAGCAGAAGCCCACAGCUCCUUGUGCUCAACACAGGCAUUACUUAAUUAAGAAGUACAAAACCAGGUUCCAGGAUGCCAGUGUAGGGGUCCUGUGUGCCACCAAGCUGGUCAGCUUCACCAACUGGCCAGAGUCAGGAGAUGCAGCAGCAGGUUACUUUAUGUUUUGUAUUACCGGGCAAUUAGGUUCAUGAUCAUAUUUUUAUAGUUUGAGAAUUAAAACUGCAUGAUGCUUGUUGUAAUGUAUACAAUUAUUCUAGAUUUUGUUGACUGAACUGGAAACCCUGGUGGACCACUUCAAGCCUGUGCUGGAGACCUCUGGCAUCCAUGUUGAAAGAAUCCCUGACCAGUGGACUGUCCUGAAAGUGCUGAUGUACCAAGAGCCCCAGUCCCUGCAGAAGAUGUCCUGGUUCCAUGUCAACAGAAGCCAUCAGCAUUCCUUACCUGAUUUGCUAGCAUUGGUUGACCUGGUCCUGUCCUUCCCUGCCUCCACAGCUGAAUGUGAAAGAGGUUUUAAUACCAUGAAACAGGUGAAAACCGAUUGGCGGUCCAACCUAAAGUCUGAUACACUGUCAGAUCUCUUUAUGGUCCAGCUGUCCUCUCCAGAGAUCAGGGAGUAUGAUCCGAUAAAAGCUGUGAUGCUGUGGCACCAGGUCUGUCAGGAGGCCAGACUUCAAGGACCGUGCAAAGAGGGUGAUUGCGGUAGAGAGUGUCAUGGCUGACUAGGUGUGUAGAAGGAAUCAAACGCAGAGAGCAGAGAGGUCCAGUGGAAAGAUGCACUUUAAUGCAGCACCAAAAGUAAAUGCCCAACCACGCAGGGCGCAAAACACUGACCAACCCAAUACAACGGGUAACACGGUUCAGAGCACAAAAAACAACACCAAACGACACAACCGUGAACAUCAAAAUAAUCCCGCACAACAAAGGGACGGGUUUCACAACCUAAAUAGGGAAGUAAAGCAAACACACACCAACAAGGAACAGGUGUAACUAAUUAGACAAAACUAACCGAAAAGAAAAAGGAAUCGGUGACGACGACCACCGAGCACCACCCGAACAGGCGGAGGAGCCAACUUCGGCAGGAGUAGUGACAGAGAGUGAGGAGUCUGAUGAGGUUUAAGUUGAUUAAAAUGAUUAAGCAUCUGAUAGGUAUACAAAACCUUAACAUUUACUUUUGUUUGAGCCUUAAGUACAUUUAAUAGCAAAUACUUCAGUGGAAUUUUGAGUUCAAGACUUUUUCAGUAGUAUUCAGGCUGGGAAAUUAAAUCUAGCCAUAUCCAAAAAUAACCAGCAUCUGAUAAGUCUCUAUUUUACCUGUAUUUUUUCAGGGAUUUUCUACUGAAGUAAAGGAUUUGUAGAACUGUUUCCCCUUUGUGUCAGGAGAGCACCAGUUCUAUGUACUCUCAUAAUUGUAUCUUACCAUUGUUGUCCUGUUUUGACUUCUAUGUACACUUAUUCAUUGUAUUUGAUAUGUUUUGUUUAUUUCAUUGUGUGCCCACUGUUUGGCAUUUUUGCACUCUGUAGAGCACUUUUGGUCAACUACAGUUGUUUUUAAAUGUGCUCUACAAAUACACUUGAUUUGUUUAACCGUUGAUCAAUAUAUAAAAUAAUUUUGUUUAAAA